AUUGAACGCUGGCGGCAUGAUUUACACAUGCAAGUCGAACGGUAACAGGCCGCAAGGUGCUGACGAGUGGCGAACGGGUGAGUAAUGCAUCGGAACGUGCCCAGUCGUUGGGGAUAACUACUCGAAAGAGUAGCUAAUACCGCAUACGAUCUAUGGAUGAAAGCGGGGGACCGUAAGGCCUCGCGCGAUUGGAGCGGCCGAUGUCAGAUUAGGUAGUUGGUGGGGUAAAGGCUCACCAAGCCAACGAUCUGUAGCUGGUCUGAGAGGACGACCAGCCACACUGGGACUGAGACACGGCCCAGACUCCUACGGGAGGCAGCAGUGGGGAAUUUUGGACAAUGGGCGCAAGCCUGAUCCAGCAAUGCCGCGUGCAGGAAGAAGGCCUUCGGGUUGUAAACUGCUUUUGUACGGAACGAAACGGCUCUGGUUAAUACCCGGGGCUAAUGACGGUACCGUAAGAAUAAGCACCGGCUAACUACGUG
Molecule: ribosomal RNA, 482 nt
Filed under: uncultured bacterium
Lineage: Bacteria
Description: partial 16S ribosomal RNA
Rfam family: Bacterial small subunit ribosomal RNA
Source: RNAcentral